GUCGAACGAAGCGCUUGAGAACAUUCUUCGGAGGCGUUCUCUUGUGACUGAGUGGCGGACGGGUGAGUAACGCGUGGGUAACCUGCCCUAUACAGGGGGAUAACAGUUACAAAUGACUGCUAAUACCGCAUAAGCGCACAGGACCGCAUGGUUCGGUGUGAAAAACUGAGGUGGUAUAGGAUGGACCCGCGUCUGAUUAGCUUGUUGGUGGGGUAACGGCUCACCAAGGCGACGAUCAGUAGCCGGCCUGAGAGGGCGACCGGCCACAUUGGGACUGAGACACGGCCCAAACUCCUACGGGAGGCAGCAGUGGGGAAUAUUGCACAAUGGGGGAAACCCUGAUGCAGCGACGCCGCGUGAGUGAAGAAGUAUUUCGGUAUGUAAAGCUCUAUCAGCAGGGAAGAAAAUGACGGUACCUGACUAAGAAGCCCCGGCUAACUACGUGCCAGCAGCCGCGGUAAUACGUAGGGGGCAAGCGUUAUCCGGAUUUACUGGGUGUAAAGGGAGCGUAGGUGGCAUGGUAAGCCAGAAGUGAAAACCCGGGGCUCAACCCCGCGGAUUGCUUUUGGAACUAUCAGGCUGGAGUGCUGGAGGGGUAAGCGGAAUUCCUAGUGUAGCGGUGAAAUGCGUAGAUAUUAGGAGGAACACCGGUGGCGAAGGCGGCUUACUGGACAGAAACUGACACUGAGGCUCGAAAGCGUGGGGAGCCUUAUAAGAUUAGAUACCGUGGUAGUCCACGCCGUAAACGAAUGAAUACUAGGUGUCGGGGUACAAAGUACCUCGGUGCCGUCGCAAACGCAGUAAGUAUUCCACCUGGGGAGUACGUUCGCAAGAAUGAAACUCAAAGGAAUUGACGGGGACCCGCACAAGCGGUGGAGCAUGUGGUUUAAUUAGAAGCAACGCGAAGAACCUUACCAAGUCUUGACAUCCCUCUGAAUAACAGGUAAAAAAGUUAGGCCUUCGGGACAGAGGAGACAGGUGGUGCAUGGUUGUCGUCAGCUCGUGUCGUGAGAUGUUGGGUUAAGUCCCGCAACGAGCGCAACCCUUGUCCUUAGUAGCCAUCAGGUAAGGCUGGGCACUCUAUGGAGACUGCCGGGGAUAACCCGGAGGAAGGUGGGGAUGACGUCAAAUCAUCAUGCCCCUUAUGACUUGGGCUACACACGUGCUACAAUGGGAUAAACAAAGGGAGGCGAGAGGGCAACCUUAAGCAAAUCUCAAAAAUAACGUCUCAGUUCGGAUUG
Molecule: ribosomal RNA, 1241 nt
Filed under: uncultured bacterium
Lineage: Bacteria
Description: bacterial SSU rRNA
Rfam family: Bacterial small subunit ribosomal RNA
Source: RNAcentral